Molecule: non-coding RNA, 99 nt
Organism: Glycine soja
Lineage: Eukaryota; Viridiplantae; Streptophyta; Magnoliopsida; Fabales; Fabaceae
Source: Rfam
GUGUCCCCUAGAGUUCCCCUUAAUGCUUCAUUGAGGAUUCUGUUUAGGUCCAAUUUAACUAGUCCCUACUGAAGUGUUUGGGGGAACUCCGGGUGUCAC